ACGCUGGCGGCAAGCCUCAUACAUGCAAGUCGAACGAGAAAGUAUCUUCGGAUACAAGUAAAGUGGCGGACGGGUGAGUAAUACAUAGGAAUCUACCCAGUGGAGGGGGAUAGCUCGAGGAAACUCGAAUUAAUACCGCAUAAUCUCUACGGAGUAAAGAGGGCUUCGGCUCUCACCAUUGGAUGAGCCUAUGCAAGAUUAGCUUGUUGGUGAGGUAAUGGCUCACCAAGGCUACGAUCUUUAGCUGGUUUGAGAGGACGACCAGCCACAUCGGGACUGAGACACGGCCCGGACUUCUACGGAAGGCAGCAGUAGGGAAUAUUGGACAAUGAGCGAAAGCUUGAUCCAGCUAUGCCGCGUGUGCGAUGACGGCCUUAGGGUUGUAAAGCACUUUAGGUAACGAGGAAAAGUUAGGUGUUAAUACCACUUAACCAUGACGUUAAUUACAGAAUAAGCACCGGCUAA
Molecule: ribosomal RNA, 465 nt
Filed under: uncultured Gammaproteobacteria bacterium
Lineage: Bacteria; Pseudomonadati; Pseudomonadota; Gammaproteobacteria
Description: bacterial SSU rRNA
Rfam family: Bacterial small subunit ribosomal RNA
Source: RNAcentral